Long non-coding RNA from Myotis davidii, 193 nucleotides. RefSeq lists it as uncharacterized. NCBI's taxonomy places the organism in Eukaryota, Metazoa, Chordata, Mammalia, Chiroptera, Vespertilionidae. The transcript has 3 exons. The record is from RefSeq and is a predicted model, not a curated record.
AUGAUGAUUAUGGAUUUUGGUAAAAAAUGCCCCGAUUUUUCUCAUGUUUAGGGAUCAAGGGGUGCUAGAGGACCAGCAGGCCCAAUGGGAUCCCCAGGAGAGCCGGGGUUACCGGGACCUCGGGGCCAUCCUGGGAGUCCGGGUGUGAAGGGCAAUCCUGGCAUGGGAGUCAAGGGGCAGAUGGGAGACCCGG